This 66-nucleotide transfer RNA is filed under the name Parablepharis kuhlii asiatica. Its description in RNAcentral is "tRNA-Tyr". The record is from RNAcentral. Lineage: Eukaryota; Metazoa; Arthropoda; Insecta; Mantodea; Hymenopodidae.
GGUAAAAUGACUGAGCAUUAGGUGAUAAAUUGUAAAUUUAUUUAGGAGGAAAAUCCUCUUUUACCA